This 77-nucleotide transfer RNA is filed under the name Alphaproteobacteria bacterium. RNAcentral describes it as "tRNA-Arg". It matches the Rfam family "tRNA". From Rfam's summary of the family: Transfer RNA (tRNA) molecules are approximately 80 nucleotides in length. Their secondary structure includes four short double-helical elements and three loops (D, anti-codon, and T loops). The record is from RNAcentral. RNAcentral also lists the same sequence under 1 other name. Lineage: Bacteria; Pseudomonadati; Pseudomonadota; Alphaproteobacteria.
GCGCCUGUAGCUCAGCUGGAUAGAGUGUCGCCCUCCGAAGGCGAAGGUCACAGGUUCGAAUCCUGUCAGGCGCGCCA